AAUAGAUACCCCGGUAGUCCUGGCCGUAAACCAUGGGCACUGGAUCGUGUGCUCGCCGAUGGGCGCGCGAUCGCAGCGAAAGCGUCAAGUGCCCCGCCUGGGGAGUAUGGUCGCAAGGCUGAAACUCGAAAGGAAUUGACGGGGGCUCACACAAGCGGUGGAGCAUGUGGCUUAAUUCGAGGCUACGCGAAGAACCUUAUCCCGGGCUUGACAUGCACGGAUUAGCCGGCGGAAACGUCGGGGACGCCUUCGGGUGGAACGUGCGCAGGUGCUGCAUGGCUGUCGUCAGCUCGUGCCGCGAGGUGUUGGGUUAAGUCCCGUAACGAGCGAAACCCUUGCCCCUAGUUGCCAGCGCGUCAUGGCGGGCACUCUAGGGGGACCGCCGGCGUCAAGCCGGAGGAAGGCGGGGACGACGUCAAGUCAUCAUGGCCCUUAUGCCCGGGGCUGCACACGUGCUACAAUGGGCCGGACAGAGCGUUGCAAGACCGCAAGGUGGAGCCAAUCGCAAAAACCGGCCCCAGUUCGGAUCGCGGG
Molecule: ribosomal RNA, 534 nt
Filed under: uncultured bacterium
Lineage: Bacteria
Description: bacterial SSU rRNA
Rfam family: Bacterial small subunit ribosomal RNA
Source: RNAcentral